UUUUUCCUUACCCUUUCCAAGCAAGCUAGUGAGCAAUGUGAGAUUGUCUUAUGAGAAAUGUUUGUGAAGUACUUUGAAGGUGUUUGGCAAAAGAAUAAGUGUGGGGGUAUUUCAUGUUUGUAUUUAAAAAAAAAAAAAAAAAAAAAAAAGAGAAGAAAAGAAAAGAAAAAGAAAGAUUAUAUACAAAGAAAAUAAAAAGUUUUUAAAGUUUCAGUUUAAGGGUGUGAUUGGAGGUAUCAGAAGAAUCGUUGGAGAGCUUGAGUUCUUAUAAAUCUAAACAAAAGAAUUGCUUGCAAUGUAGCUUGGAACUUGUGUUUUCCUAUUCUUUCGUUUCAAUAACCCUAUCCCUAAGCCUCAUUACAUCCAAUAAAAGUCCUCUUGAUUUAAGUUUUGCAAUUAUGACUGUGGAGAAGUGAUCUUUAUGCAAGCUUAUGGUAGAAAUUUCACAUUUGAUUCUUUGAGCGAAACACAUUAAAACUAAACACAUGUGUGAUUGAGUGCAUAUC
This 506-nucleotide long non-coding RNA is filed under the name Malus domestica (apple). Its description in RNAcentral is "long non-coding RNA (MDOM_LNC020803)". Lineage: Eukaryota; Viridiplantae; Streptophyta; Magnoliopsida; Rosales; Rosaceae. The record is from RNAcentral.